AACGAACGCUGGCGGCAUGCCUAACACAUGCAAGUCGAACGAGACCUUCGGGUCUAGUGGCGCACGGGUGCGUAACGCGUGGGAACCUGCCUUUAGGUUCGGAAUAACUCAGAGAAAUUUGAGCUAAUACCGGAUAAUGUCUUCGGACCAAAGAUUUAUCGCCUUUAGAUGGGCCCGCGUAAGAUUAGCUAGUUGGUGGGGUAAAGGCCUACCAAGGCGACGAUCUUUAGCUGGUCUGAGAGGAUGAUCAGCCACACUGGGACUGAGACACGGCCCAGACUCCUACGGGAGGCAGCAGUGGGAAUAUGGACAAUGGGCGAAAGCCUGAUCCAGCAAUGCCGCGUGAGUGAUGAAGGCCUUAGGGUU
This 366-nucleotide ribosomal RNA is filed under the name uncultured bacterium. Its description in RNAcentral is "bacterial SSU rRNA". It matches the Rfam family "Bacterial small subunit ribosomal RNA", at positions 29 to 424 of the family's 1533-position model. The record is from RNAcentral.